Rhipicephalus sanguineus (brown dog tick) is the source of this 3207-nucleotide long non-coding RNA. RefSeq lists it as uncharacterized. Lineage: Eukaryota; Metazoa; Arthropoda; Arachnida; Ixodida; Ixodidae. The record is from RefSeq and is a predicted model, not a curated record. The transcript is spliced from 2 exons.
UGAGGAUUGUCGCUAUUUUUUCAAGUGUUUAUAGCUAGAGUGCGUUCUCAACGUAAUAAAUCAGUGGUCGGAAAUGUCAUGUCAGCGUCCCAUUCAUAUGCGAUGCAAUGAAACAAUGUAUCGCGUCUCGAGUACGGUUGCAGCUACAGUGUACUGCUGCAGCAGCCUUCCGCUUGAUUUUCUUUUAAAAAGUAAAGUUACGGUUCCUUCGGAGAAGUCAUGUUAAUCUUGACGCAAUGUUUCAAAGCUAGAAACGAAAACACUAAAAAAAAAGAAAAGCUACAUUGCGCGGUUUCGAACCCACGACGUUCAACACCACAAACUGCCGCGCUGAGUGCUAACCGACUUCGCCACCAAAGCAUCUCGGUGGUGGGGUUUAACAACGGCGUGUGUACGACGUGGUGAAUUACAAUGUGAUGAUUGUAGAUCGUAGUUCUUUCACUACAGCGCAGCUGUUGAAGUGACGACCCUGGGCCCCCGCGCACCCAUGGCCCCGUCGUGGUGGUCGGUCCCGCCUCAGAAACGGCGCUUUCGGUUCUAUUUAGAACCGACUACAUCGUCAAAGUUCCCCUACAGAUUGUGUGGAGCCAGAAGAAAGAAUCGUCUGCUGCUCUAGAUGCUUCACAGGCAAGUUCAGAUGAGCUUACUGAGGACAAUGUCGGGCUCGAAGAUGAACCAUAUCUGCAGGAUGAAUUUCCUAUAACAGUCAGCAAGGUCCAUGGUAAUUCGGAAUGUAGUCAAGAGGUUCCUGAGGAUGUUGAAGUCGACAACCCAGAUGCUGACCUCUCUGAUUGUGUGGCAAGAAAUUCAGCAGUAAUGCUUCCUGGCCUCUCUGUAAGUAGAUUGCAAGCUUGUGCUUGUGUGAGUCGUAAUUCAAUAAAAAUGUGCUUACUGGAUUACAACCACUGAUAGCUCAUAUUUGAAGGUGCGAGAUCAGAAGGUUCCUUGUAAAGCACCAAUUAUGUGAGAUAUUGGUGAUUGAGUACUGACUCAGAUUUUAGAAGUUUUUUGUAUUCUUGCGCUUAAUAAAAUCGGUGUCAAGAACACUAACAAGUUUAUUGGGGUUCCUCGGAAUGCAAUUAGUACAUUUUCAAUGCCACUUCCUUAAAAAAAAACAUUUGUGGUGUUCAUAUCGAGCUGGUGGUUAUGUGUAAACACAGUGUGACGUAGGUCUAAGUCACGUGAGGACAGCAACACUUGAUGUUCUUGCAGCCCUCUGUAGUUUCAGAAAGGGCCUUUUGGAAGGCAACCGAAUGAGAAUUGUGGCUUUUGCAUUACAGCAUCCCAUGUCUUGAUGACAUUCUGCCAUCAAGAUACAUCAGGCAUUUCAUGCCGCUUUCUAAAAGCCUCUUCAUGCUGCUCAAGGAAACUGUCGAGGAGUCUGAGGCAUUUAUUGCUCAGAGAUUGUUAAAGAGGUUUGUUCAAGAGGUUUGUUCAAGAGGUUUCCAUACUGUAUGGUGCAGCCGCUCAGACCAUAUUACUGUUAUGCCAGGAAAUUAUCUGUCAGCAGUAUUUUUUACUCUUCAUGUACAGUAUCGAGCAUCCACCAGCACAUGUAGGGCAGUGUUUGCUGCAUGAAAGCAGCAUGGCUUCACCGUGUGUUCUUGUAAAUCGAGGGGGAACAUUCAUUGUAGCAAAAAUGCCGAAUCUUUUCGAAGGUGACUAAAAGAUGUGUGCCCUAUUCUUCUAGUGUACGAGACGUGUUUCUCCAAAAGUUCAUAUGGUGCACCUUGUCCAACAGUUGAUAUGAUAGGUUAGAAUGUACAGUUUUCCUUUUCUUUCUUUCAUCGGUGAGCAUGUGAUAGUAAGGCAGAGAAUAUUGCAGAAAUAUUUGUCGUUUAACCUUGAUCUGACACCCGAAUGUAACUACUCUGAUUGACGAUAUAGACUCAUACAGGAUUUUUAAAAGGAAGAUUCAGUCACACUUACUAUCUACCAUAGGCGUGCGCAGGGUUCCCCUUCAGGGGGGUGAAGGUUCGUCGCAGCACCCCCCUCCCAAUUAUGUCAAUGUAUGGCGCUGACAUUGCCCCCCCCCCCGAUUGGCAGCGCCCCCCUGCCUAUUAUGUCAAUGUAUGGGGCUGACUUUGCACCCCCCCCUCUUAGGUGAAUAGGGGGGGCAGCCUGCCCUCCUGUGCGCACACUUAUGCUAUCUACAUAAACAUAUUCACCAUCAUCAUAAUCAUUGUUUUGUAUUCUCUAAAGUAUUUGUUUUCUUUGUUUUUUUAAUUUCUGAAACCUUAUGCAUUGAAAUAUUACAUUUCGUCAUGUAAUGUCACAUUCAUGUUUGUUUAUUUUCUCAAACUUUGUUUCAUUUGUUGGUCACAUAUAUGCCUUACUGAUGUCAUUGCCUGGGCCAACUCACUCAUCUAUUUGUUUUCUUAUACACAUGUGACCUGCACGUAGCAACUAAUUUAUGCUUAUUUCAUUAUUGACUGUUAAUUUUUUACACUGAGCAUUUAGUCAUUUUGGUGGGAUUUUAGGCUUUCAGUGGGCAGGCGCCUUGUCAGGCUUUUAUAGCUUUUCGACGGUCCCCUAGGCAAAUUGUACCUUUGUUUUGCUUUUUUCCCGAAAUAAACCUCAACUUCACCUUGCUUGUCUAACCGCCUUGUCGUAUGACAUUUGUAGUAUUGGCAUUUUGCAGGAAAAAUAUGCAUAUGCAGAAAACAAACUACAGUUGCAACCGUUCCUUAACAACAAACAUGUGAAACAUUCUUUUGAUGCUAUUUGCUGAUGCUAUUUCUGCCUAGCUGUCAGUGAACUUAUAUUUCUGUGCUUGGUUGCCACAUUGAGAAGUGAUAUGUCCGAUACUGGCAGCUGGCUUGUUGCGCCCUUCCUUCUUUGGGGUCUACCCUUUUAAGGACAGAGGCCAUAAGAACAAUAUCUCAUAUUUUUAGUGGGUUUACAAGCUGGUUUUUGGCUUUCCAUUUCAAAUGUGCUUUUCAUUUCCAAUGUUCCUAUGCGAGUACAGCAUAAUUUCAAAAUUUUAUAGCAGAUAUAAUCAAGCACUUUAUGGCACAACGUUCUGGGAUUGCUGAAAUUUUCAAACGUAUAGCCCUGUUACUUUGAUUAUUUUGCAUUCUUUUUUUAUUGGACAUUGAUGUACAUGCAUGUAUGCCUACUGCAGUUCACCAUGUCUAUAUAGUGCAGUUAGAAGUACAAAAACUUGUUCUGUGCUGAUGUGUUGAAUAAAUGCAAAUGUGACAUCGC